Molecule: ribosomal RNA, 445 nt
Filed under: uncultured organism
Description: partial 16S ribosomal RNA
Rfam family: Bacterial small subunit ribosomal RNA
Source: RNAcentral
ACUCCUGCGGGAGGCAGCAGUGGGGAAUAUUGGACAAUGGGCGCAAGCCUGAUCCAGCCAUGCCGCGUGAGUGAUGAAGGCCCUAGGGUUGUAAAGCUCUUUCACCGGAGAAGAUAAUGACGGUAUCCGGAGAAGAAGCCCCGGCUAACUUCGUGCCAGCAGCCGCGGUAAUACGAAGGGGGCUAGCGUUGUUCGGAAUUACUGGGCGUAAAGCGCACGUAGGCGGAUCGAUCAGUCAGGGGUGAAAUCCCAGGGCUCAACCCUGGAACUGCCUUUGAUACUGUCGAUCUGGAGUAUGGAAGAGGUGAGUGGAAUUCCGAGUGUAGAGGUGAAAUUCGUAGAUAUUCGGAGGAACACCAGUGGCGAAGGCGGCUCACUGGUCCAUUACUGACGCUGAGGUGCGAAAGCGUGGGGAGCAAACAGGAUUAGAUACCCGUGUAGUCCC